UACGGGGGAGCAAGCGUUGUUCGGAUUUACUGGGCGUAAAGGGCGCGUAGGCGGUCGUGACAAGUCACUUGUGAAAUCUCCGGGCUUAACUCGGAACGGUCAAGUGAUACUGUCGGACUAGAGUACAGAAGGGCAACUGGAAUUCUCGGUGUAGCGGUGAAAUGCGCAGAUAUCAGGAGGAACACCGAUGGCGAAGGCAGGUCUCUGGCAUUAACUGACGCUGAGGAGCGAAGCAUGGGAGCGAACAGG
Molecule: ribosomal RNA, 249 nt
Filed under: uncultured bacterium
Lineage: Bacteria
Description: partial 16S ribosomal RNA
Rfam family: Bacterial small subunit ribosomal RNA
Source: RNAcentral